CACGCUGGCGGCGUGCCUAACACAUGCAAGUCGAACGCGAAAGUGGAGCAAUCCAUGAGUAGAGUGGCAAACGGGUGAGUAACGCGUGGGUGACCUGCCUUCGAGUGGGGGAUAACGUUCCGAAAGGGACGCUAAUACCGCAUGACAUCCUGCCUUUGAAGAGGCGGAGAUCAAAGCUGGGGAUCGCAAGACCUAGCACUCGAUGAGGGGCCCGCGUCUGAUUAGCUAGUUGGUGGGGUAACGGCUCACCAAGGCAACGAUCAGUAUCCGGCCUGAGAGGGCGGACGGACACACUGGGACUGAGACACGGCCCAGACUCCUACGGGAGGCAGCAGUGGGGAAUUGUUCGCAAUGGGCGCAAGCCUGACGACGCAACGCCGCGUGGAGGAUGAAGAUCUUCGGGUCGUAAACUCCUUUCGAUCGAGACGAACAGUCUCCGGGUGAACAAUCCGGAGGUUUGACGGUACCGAGAGAAGAAGCCCCGGCUAACUCCGUGCCAGCAGCCGCGGUAAUACGGGGGGGGCAAGCGUUGUUCGGAAUUACUGGGCGUAAAGG
This 555-nucleotide ribosomal RNA is filed under the name uncultured soil bacterium. Its description in RNAcentral is "bacterial SSU rRNA". It matches the Rfam family "Bacterial small subunit ribosomal RNA", at positions 32 to 566 of the family's 1533-position model. The record is from RNAcentral.